AGCGUUUUGGACCCACCUGAUUCCAUCCCGAACUCAGAAGUGAAACGAAACAGCGUCGAUGGUAGUGUGGGGUUUCCCCAUGUGAGAGUAGAAC
RNAcentral lists this ribosomal RNA (94 nucleotides) under Vibrio cholerae. The record is from RNAcentral. Lineage: Bacteria; Pseudomonadati; Pseudomonadota; Gammaproteobacteria; Vibrionales; Vibrionaceae.